Molecule: small nuclear RNA, 105 nt
Organism: Scleropages formosus (Asian bonytongue)
Lineage: Eukaryota; Metazoa; Chordata; Actinopteri; Osteoglossiformes; Osteoglossidae
Source: Ensembl
UUGGAUUUAUUCUACAGCAGCACAAGGUUGGAACGAUACAGAAAAGAUUAGUAUGGCCCCUGGUGCAAGAAAGAAAUGCAAAAUCUUGGAUUUAAACAUUUUGAU